Molecule: long non-coding RNA, 473 nt
Filed under: Phaseolus vulgaris (common bean)
Lineage: Eukaryota; Viridiplantae; Streptophyta; Magnoliopsida; Fabales; Fabaceae
Description: long non-coding RNA (PVUL_LNC002896)
Source: RNAcentral
GGCAUUCUACUUCUUUUGCAUCGGUUCAGAAACUGUAGUCACUCUGGUUGAAAUUGAAGGUUCUCACAGUAAAACUUGUUGAAUUGAGUAAUGGAAGGGAAUGCGAAAAGCGACCAAAUCGUGGAUGUAGGAUCGGUAGUGGAGGCCGUUUCAGUCGAUGACGGUGAUGCUCCUCUCUACAGCCUCGAAAGUCUUUGCAUGCGAUGUGGUGAAAACGUAAGCUUCUCCCCAUUCUCCGCCACCUUUUCCUUUUCCUUUGGCUUUUCAAUGAAUUCACUUUCUACUUUUUCGCGCACCUUUUGCGUGGUUAACUCAGGGAUUAAAUUCUCCAUUCUUUUACUCUCACUAGUGCAGAAAUGUAAAACAACGACCCUUUAUUUAGUGCGGCUUUGCGUUUAAACGCAUUUGUAAAAAACGCGGUGGCAUUUUUGUAAUUAAAUUGAUUUACAAAUGCGGUUCUAGGGUAAGACCGC